AACGAACGCUGGCGGCAGGCCUAACACAUGCAAGUCGAGCGAGGACUUCGGUUCUAGCGGCGGACGGGUGAGUAACGCGUGGGAAUGUGCCCUUCUCUACGGAAUAGCCCUGGGAAACUGGGAGUAAUACCGUAUACGCCCUAUUGGGGAAAGAUUUAUCGGAGAAGGAUCAGCCCGCGUUGGAUUAGGUAGUUGGUGGGGUAAUGGCCUACCAAGCCGACGAUCCAUAGCUGGUUUGAGAGGAUGAUCAGCCACACUGGGACUGAGACACGGCCCAGACUCCUACGGGAGGCAGCAGUGGGGAAUCUUAGACAAUGGGGGCAACCCUGAUCUAGCCAUGCCGCGGGAGUGAUGAAGGCCUUAGGGUUGUAAAGCUCUUUCAGCUGGGAAGAUAAUGACGGUACCAGCAGAAGAAGCCCCGGCUAACUCCGUG
RNAcentral lists this ribosomal RNA (433 nucleotides) under uncultured bacterium. RNAcentral describes it as "partial 16S ribosomal RNA". It matches the Rfam family "Bacterial small subunit ribosomal RNA", at positions 29 to 507 of the family's 1533-position model. The record is from RNAcentral.